UUAACCAGAAUGUUUAAAUUAGUGUUAUAAUAUAUAAUGUAUAUACUAAUGCAACUGCGAAUAGCUGUUUAAUACAGUCGUAAUUGUAUUGACUUAGUAUAAUGUUAAUAAUAGUUAUUUAUAGGAUAACUAAGGGAAAGUUUGGCUAAUACGUUUUAACAGUAUUAUAAUUCUUAAUACACAUAUAAUAAUAUUAUAAUAUGAUAAAUAUUAUAUAAAUAUUUUAAUACAUUUAUUUGUAUUAAUAUAUAGAGUUGACUUUAUAAUAUUUAUUUAUUAUAAAGCAUGUCAAACAAGCAUCUAUAGCAUCAAGUCACAAUGUUGGCAUGUGUAUUAUUGAACCUUCAAAGCAUUUACGCAUUCGGAGGAGUAGUUUCUGAUCCCGUCGAAGGUGCCUGAGAGACGGCACUUAGUUCUAAGGAACGCAGCAGGCGCGUAAAUUGCCCAAUGACAAAACAUGUUAUAAUAAAAUAUAUAAUGUAUAUAUUGAAUACUCAAUAUUUAAUUGAGGCAGUGACAAGCUGUAAAGAUUGAAUAUAUUAAUUAAGAUAACAUUUGGAAUUGUCGUUUUAUAAUAUUUUUUAAUAUUAUAUUACUUGAUAAUAUACCAAUGUUAUAAAAUAUUCAAUUUGAAUGCGGUGAAUGUAAUAAUUUCAAGUAACAUGUAUAAAAUAUUUAUAUUUUAUUAGUUAUCUGAAUUUUCAAGUGGAGGGCAAGUCUGGUGCCAGCAGCCGCGGUAAUACCAGCUCCACUAGCUUAUACAAUCAUUGUUGCGGUUAAGAGGCUCGUAGUUGGAUUGAAUAAAACAUAUAUACACAAUACUGUGAACAAACCAGAGUGUAUAAAACAUGUAAUAUAUUAUAUAUUUAGCAAUGAAUGUUUUAUCAUGGAAUAUUGCUAUAAUGAAUAUUAAUAUCGAUGGAGAUAGUUGGAGUUAAGAGUACUGAUAGGCGAGCGGUGAAAUGCAUUGACCCUAUUAAGACUAACAAAAGCGAAAGCACUUAACUAGAUUAUUCUCUUUGUAUUAUUUUACAAUGAAGAGCGAAGGUUGGGGGAACAAAGAGGAUCAGAUACCCUCGUAGUCCUAUUUUUACAUCAAACUAUGGGAUUUCAUUCACACUAAACACUAAACAUUAUAAUUAUAAUUAUGAUUGAGUUAUAUGUCAAAAUAUUACUCUCAUAUUAAAUAAUUAUUAUAUAUAUGAUUAUAUGUACUUUGAGCUCAUAUAAUUAUAUAGGUGAGAUGUAAGCAUUAUAAAGUGAAUAAUAUACAAGUAAUAUUGUAUUAUUAUGAUCUUUAAAAUAAAAAAUGUAAUGUGAUGCACGUUUUAGGUACGAGCUUACUAUAGAAAUAUUUAAAAUAAUACCCUCCUGGGGUAGUAUGCACGCANNNNNNNAACUUGAAGGAAUUGACGGAAGGGCACCACAAGAACGCGUGGAGCAUGUGGCUUAAUUUGACUCAACCCGGGAAAUCUUACCAGGUCCAGACAUAUUGAGGAUUGACAGGCGAUAGUAUAUAAUUCAUUUAUAUGCAUAAAAAUGAUAGUCCUUUCAUGAUUAUAUGAUAGGUGGUGCAUGGCCGUUCUUAGUUCGUGGAGUGAUUUGUCUGCUUAAUUGCGUUUCAGUAAAUAAAAUAUAUAAUAUAUUAUAAUAUUUAGUUCUGCCUGAAUAUUAUUCAGGAUUUAAAGUGAACAUAUUAUAUAUAUUAUUAUAUAAUAAAUGAAUGC
Molecule: ribosomal RNA, 1727 nt
Filed under: Marginopora vertebralis
Lineage: Eukaryota; Foraminifera; Miliolida; Soritidae
Description: SSU rRNA
Rfam family: Eukaryotic small subunit ribosomal RNA
Source: RNAcentral